AGGACGAACGCUGGCGGCGCGCUUAACACAUGCAAGUCGAGCGAGAACCAUGGCUUCGGCCAUGGGGACAGCGGCGAACGGGUGAGUAACACGUGGGUAAUCUGCCCUCGACACUGGGAUAGCCCGGGGAAACCCGGAUUAAUACCGGAUAGCCUCUCGAGCUCUCGGGCUCGUGAGAAAAGAUGGCUUCGGCUUUCGGUUGAGGAGGAGCCUGCGGCGGAUUAGCUUGUUGGUGAGGUAACGGCCACCAAGGCGACGAUCCGUAGCUGGUCUGAGAGGACGAUCAGCCACACUGGGACUGAGACACGGCCCAGACUCCUACGGGAGGCAGCAGUGGGGAAUCUUGCGCAAUGGGCGAAAGCCUGACGCAGCGACGCCGCGUGAGGGAAGAAGGCCUUGGUUGUAAACCUCUUUCGAGGAGGGACGAAGACUACUACGGGUUAAUAGCCCGAGAGGUGACGGUACCUCCAGAAGAAGACCCGCUAACUACAU
This 492-nucleotide ribosomal RNA is filed under the name uncultured soil bacterium. RNAcentral's name for it is "bacterial SSU rRNA". It matches the Rfam family "Bacterial small subunit ribosomal RNA", at positions 26 to 506 of the family's 1533-position model. The record is from RNAcentral.